This 1101-nucleotide ribosomal RNA is filed under the name Triticum aestivum (bread wheat). RNAcentral's name for it is "partial small subunit ribosomal RNA". Lineage: Eukaryota; Viridiplantae; Streptophyta; Magnoliopsida; Poales; Poaceae. The record is from RNAcentral.
AUGCUUGAAGGCGGCCCGGGGCACGCGGCCAGCCUGGCUCCGCCCCUGGCCGAGAGCAUCAAGAAGGCCCUGUCGCGGGCGCUGGUGCCCUACUACCCGAUGGCCGGCCGGCUCGUCGCCGGAGCCGAUGAAGACGCGUACCUCAGCAUCGCGUGCACCGGCGAGGGCGUGCCUUUCGUGGCCGCGUCGGCUAGCUGUGCCCUGGAGGAAGCCAUGACGUCGCCGUCGUUCCUCAAGGAGCUCACCGUCCGUUACCCUGGCGAGCUCUAUUGCCUCAGCGACGCCUUGCUGCUGAUGCAGGUGACGGAGUUCUCCUGCGGCGGGUUCGUCGUCGGGGUGACGUGGAACCACGUCAUGGCGGACGGCGCCAGGAUCGCGCAGUUCCUGCAAGCCCUCGGCGAGCUCGCCCGCGGGAUGGGGGCGCCGUCCGUUGUCCCCGUCAGGUCGGGCGCCACGAUCCCGCCCAUGCCGACGCCCGUGGUCGCCGCGCUGAGGUCCCAGAUGCAGGUCCUAACUGAGGAGCUCGCGACCCUGGACGUCACGAUCCCCUCCAGCCUGAUCAGCCGCGUCAAGGCCGAGUGCGGCGGCGACUGCACGACGUUCGAGGUCGUGGCCGCGGCGCUCUGGCGGAGCCGCACCCGCGCGAUCUUCUCCGGCUCCGACCCCGACGCCCCCGCGAUGCUCUUCUUCCCCAAAAACAUGCGCGAGAAGGUCGGCGCCGAGUGUGGCUACUACGGCAACUGCUUCGGCAGCCAGCUGGUCCUGGCGACGAGCAGCGCGGUGGCGAGCGCCGAGAUCAGGGACCUGGUGAAGCUUGUGAAGGGCCACGCGGACAUACUGGACCUGUUGAUGGACGCCGGUGCCGCCACGGUGGUGGAUCUGGGCAGGCUCAUGUCGUCCCCGAGGUACCAUGCGAUCGCCGUCUCCAGCUGGCAGAAGCUUGGGCUGGAGGCGACGGACUUCGGGCGCGGGAAGCCGGCGAGGGUGAUGUGGCAGCCGGAGACACUACCAGAAAAACUGGGGUUGCCGACGGCCAAAUCUAUGCCAAUGGCCACCGUCGGCAUCGCCGGACCUAUGCCGACGGCCAAGGAUAGGCCGUAG